AGAGUUUGAUCAUGGCUCAGAGCGAACGCUGGCGGCAGGCUUAACACAUGCAAGUCGAGCGCCUGUAGCAAUACAGGAGCGGCAGACGGGAGAGUAACACGUGGGAACGUACCCUUCAGUACGGAACAACCAAGGGAAACUUUGGCUAAUACCGUAUACGUCCGUAAGGAGAAAGAUUUAUCGCUGAAGGAUCGGCCCGCGUCUGAUUAGCUAGUUGGUGAGGUAACGGCUCACCAAGGCGACGAUCAGUAGCUGGUCUGAGAGGAUGAUCAGCCUCAUUGGGACUGAGACACGGCCCAAACUCCUACGGGAGGCAGCAGUGGGGAAUAUUGGACAAUGGGCGCAAGCCUGAUCCAGCCAUGCCGCGUGGGUGAUGAAGGCCUUAGGGUUGUAAAGCCCUUUCGGCGGGGAAGAUAAUGACGGUACCCGCAGAAGAAGCCCCGGCUAACUUCGUGCCAGCAGCCGCGGUAAUACGAAGGGGGCUAGCGUUGCUCGGAAUCACUGGGCGUAAAGCGCACGUAGGCGGACUCUUAAGUCGGUGGUGAAAUCCUGGAGCUCAACUCCAGAACUGCCUUCGAUACUGGGAGUCUUCGAGUCCGGGAGAGGUGAGUGGAACUGCGAGUGUAGAGGUGAAAUUCGUAGAUAUUCGCAAGAACACCAGUGGCGAAGGCGGCUCACUGGCCCGGUACUGACGCUGAGGUGCGAAAGCGUGGGGAGCAAACAGGAUUAGAUACCCUAGUAGUCC
This 745-nucleotide ribosomal RNA is filed under the name uncultured bacterium. Its description in RNAcentral is "bacterial SSU rRNA". It matches the Rfam family "Bacterial small subunit ribosomal RNA", at positions 8 to 796 of the family's 1533-position model. The record is from RNAcentral.